Molecule: ribosomal RNA, 58 nt
Filed under: Alternaria tenuissima
Lineage: Eukaryota; Fungi; Ascomycota; Dothideomycetes; Pleosporales; Pleosporaceae
Description: partial 28S ribosomal RNA
Source: RNAcentral
UUUUUUCAACUUUUGACCUCGGAUCAGGUAGGGAUACCCGCUGAACUUAAGCAUAUCA